GAGUUUGAUCAUGGCUCAGAUUGAACGCUGGCGGCAGGCCUAACACAUGCAAGUCGAGCGGUAGCACAAGAGAGCUUGCUCUCUGGGUGACGAGCGGCGGACGGGUGAGUAAUGUCUGGGAAACUGCCUGAUGGCGGGGGAUAACUAGUGGAAACGGUAGCUAAUACCGCAUAACGUCGCAAGACCAAAGUGGGGGACCUUCGGGCCUCACGCCAUCAGAUGUGCCCAGGUGGGAUUAGCUGGUAGGUGGGGUAACGGCUCACCUAGGCGACGAUCCCUAGCUGGUCUGAGAGGAUGACCAGCCACACUGGAACUGAGACACGGUCCAGACUCCUACGGGAGGCAGCAGUGGGGAAUAUUGCACAAUGGGCGCAAGCCUGAUGCAGCCAUGCCGCGUGUGUGAAGAAGGCCUUCGGGUUGUAAAGCACUUUCAGCGAGGAGGAAGGGUAAUGUGUUAAUA
RNAcentral lists this ribosomal RNA (460 nucleotides) under Serratia symbiotica. RNAcentral describes it as "bacterial SSU rRNA". It matches the Rfam family "Bacterial small subunit ribosomal RNA", at positions 9 to 466 of the family's 1533-position model. Lineage: Bacteria; Pseudomonadati; Pseudomonadota; Gammaproteobacteria; Enterobacterales; Yersiniaceae. The record is from RNAcentral.